GAGGACGGGAGUUGAGGACUGGGUCUUUGCGGGCGAGAUGAGGGUGUCAAUUCAACUGGCCUACAAAGUCCCAGUUCUCGGUUCCC
Molecule: microRNA precursor, 86 nt
Organism: Notamacropus eugenii (tammar wallaby)
Lineage: Eukaryota; Metazoa; Chordata; Mammalia; Diprotodontia; Macropodidae
Gene: MIR193A
Product: microRNA 193a
Source: Ensembl